UGGGGAAUAUUGCACAAUGGGCGCAAGCCUGAUGCAGCCAUGCCGCGUGUGUGAAGAAGGCCUUCGGGUUGUAAAGCACUUUCAGCGGGGAGGAAGGCGAUAAGGUUAAUAACCUUGUCGAUUGACGUUACCCGCAGAAGAAGCACCGGCUAACUCCGUGCCAGCAGCCGCGGUAAUACGGAGGGUGCAAGCGUUAAUCGGAAUUACUGGGCGUAAAGCGCACGCAGGCGGUCUGUCAAGUCGGAUGUGAAAUCCCCGGGCUUAACCUGGGAACUGCAUUCGAAACUGGCAGGCUAGAGUCUUGUAGAGGGGGGUAGAAUUCCAGGUGUAGCGGUGAAAUGCGUAGAGAUCUGGAGGAAUACCGGUGGCGAAGGCGGCCCCCUGGACAAAGACUGACGCUCAGGUGCGAAAGCGUGGGGAGCACACAGG
Molecule: ribosomal RNA, 429 nt
Filed under: Chloroflexota bacterium
Lineage: Bacteria; Bacillati; Chloroflexota
Description: Chloroflexi bacterium partial 16S ribosomal RNA
Rfam family: Bacterial small subunit ribosomal RNA
Source: RNAcentral